Molecule: ribosomal RNA, 696 nt
Filed under: uncultured bacterium
Lineage: Bacteria
Description: bacterial SSU rRNA
Rfam family: Bacterial small subunit ribosomal RNA
Source: RNAcentral
AACGCUAGCUACAGGCUUAACACAUGCAAGUCGAGGGGAAACGAUAUUGGAAGCUUGCUUCCGAUAGGCGUCGACCGGCGCACGGGUGAGUAACGCGUAUCCAACCUGUCCAUCACUUGGGAAUAACCUUGCGAAAGUAAGACUAAUGCCCAAUGACAUUUAUAGAAGGCAUCUGAAAUGAAUUAAAGAUUUAUCGGUGAUGGAUGGGGAUGCGUCUGAUUAGCUUGUUGGCGGGGUAACGGCCCACCAAGGCGACGAUCAGUAGGGGUUCUGAGAGGAAGGUCCCCCACAUUGGAACUGAGACACGGUCCAAACUCCUACGGGAGGCAGCAGUGAGGAAUAUUGGUCAAUGGACGCAAGUCUGAACCAGCCAAGUAGCGUGCAGGAUGACGGCCCUAUGGGUUGUAAACUGCUUUUAUGCGGGGAUAAAGUUUGGGAUGUAUCCCAUAUUGCAGGUACCGCAUGAAUAAGGACCGGCUAAUUCCGUGCCAGCAGCCGCGGUAAUACGGAAGGUCCGGGCGUUAUCCGGAUUUAUUGGGUUUAAAGGGAGCGUAGGCCGUCGUUUAAGCGUGUUGUGAAAUGCCGUGGCUCAACCAUGGCACUGCAGCGCGAACUGCCGUACUUGAGUACGCUGGAGGUAGGCGGAAUUCGUGGUGUAGCGGUGAAAUGCUUAGAUAUCACGAAGAACUCCGAUUG